RNAcentral lists this ribosomal RNA (151 nucleotides) under uncultured bacterium. RNAcentral's name for it is "partial 16S ribosomal RNA". It matches the Rfam family "Bacterial small subunit ribosomal RNA", at positions 381 to 525 of the family's 1533-position model. The record is from RNAcentral.
GCCUGAUCAGCCAUGCCGCGUGAGUGAUGAAGGCCUUCGGGUUGUAAAGCUCUUUUUUCCGGGAAGAAAACGUCCGGACCCGUAGGGGAUGGCCCGGACUGUUCCCUGACAGCACGCCCCGGUCUAAUCCAUGCCCCCCGCCGCUAUAAUA